GAAAGGAGGAAUCUGCGUGCUACUUGGGGCAAUGCCUGGCCUGUGGCAGAAGGCAUCUUCAGGGCUCCAUUCUCGUGCGGGAUGGGAUGUUCCUGUAUUUGAAGAGAAGCAGAGUAGCUGUGGAAUCUCCGUAUAUGUUUCAAGUACUCCUUGCCAACGCAAUGCCUCCUACACUACCGGUAUUCCUAAUGAAAAAAGUUGUCAUCUACGAAUACAUAUGUCUUUACUUUAA
Long non-coding RNA from Rhipicephalus microplus (southern cattle tick), 232 nucleotides. The record is from RefSeq and is a predicted model, not a curated record. NCBI's taxonomy places the organism in Eukaryota, Metazoa, Arthropoda, Arachnida, Ixodida, Ixodidae.